GUAGUCAUAUGCUUGUCUCAAAGAUUAAGCCAUGCAUGUCUAAGUAUAAGCAAUCUAUACAGUGAAACUGCGAAUGGCUCAUUAAAUCAGUUAUCGUUUAUUUGAUAGUGCCUUACUACAUGGAUAACCGUGGUAAUUCUAGAGCUAAUACAUGCUAAAAACCCCGACCUCUGGAAGGGGUGUAUUUAUUAGAUAAAAAACCAAUGGCUUCGGCCUCUAUGGUGAAUCAUAAUAACUUCACGAAUCGCAUGGCCUUGCGCCGGCGAUGGUUCAUUCAAAUUUCUGCCCUAUCAACUUUCGAUGGUAGGAUAGUGGCCUACCAUGGUAGCAACGGGUAACGGGGAAU
Molecule: ribosomal RNA, 346 nt
Filed under: uncultured fungus
Lineage: Eukaryota; Fungi
Description: SSU rRNA
Rfam family: Eukaryotic small subunit ribosomal RNA
Source: RNAcentral